Molecule: long non-coding RNA, 1202 nt
Organism: Choloepus didactylus (southern two-toed sloth)
Lineage: Eukaryota; Metazoa; Chordata; Mammalia; Pilosa; Megalonychidae
Exons: 5
Source: RefSeq, a predicted model, not a curated record
UCGGCGCGCGUGCGCGCCCACGCUCCAGACGGCCGCCUCAGCCUCGUGAGAGGCCUUCGCGUUUUACGUCUGUGCGGUGCGUGUGGAGCAGGUGCUUCAAGUUGUUAGUUGUUGGAAAGUGAUGUGAGGGACUGAAGGAACGCUGACAAGUGUGUCUUAAGAAUCACGUUUCAACCUCAGACCUGUAGGAGUGCGUCAUCCGAAAGACUGGGCCACGGAGGGCCAGCUCCUUGCACGAUAAAUCUGCCAUCUCCUCGGAGGCUCCCGAGUGUAUGUGGCUUGAGUUUCUAUCUCUCCGCUCUUUCUCGCAAGGCUCGGAUAUUUAUGGGUUAACACGGCCCGUGCUCUAACACGGCCAAGUAGAUGGACAAAAGGGAGCAAGCCCCAAAAGAGACUCGUUGGUUCAAACUGCAAACAGCAAACAAUUGGUGUAAUAUAAAUUCCAUGGGGUCACAGACGAGCACAAACUAUACCCCUUGACUUGACGAGCGGUACCGAGGAGACUCGAGACUCCUUUUUGCUGACGGCACCCGGGGAGACAGUAGAAUGAGGAGAAUACAGUUUAUAUAGAGAGAAGGCUAUCUAGCAGCCGCUUUUGCCUGCAUAGACUGAGACUGAGGGGUUCAUAAUCAUAUAAGCCAGAAUUAAAGGCCCCUUUUCUAUUUCAUACCAUUAAGCUAGAUGUUGACAACCUGGGAAACCUUAGAAGCCAUAAAUUGAAGAUGGAAGAGCCUCCACCAGCCUGAUCUCUAAACAACUAUGGAGAGCAUACCCACAUGCUGCACCCAACCAAGUAGCAACCAGGAUCAUCCACAUUGGACUGAGUGUUUUAUAGUGCCAUGCCAACUCUAAUGAAGUUAGUUGAUGAUCUGAAAACUUUGAUGGUUGGAGCAUUCUUGAUGAGAACACAAGGCAAUGAAACUCAGAAAAAUCCUCAACAGAAAUGAUGGAGGUCAACUCUUAUGCUCAGCUGUGUGUGAAUAAAGUCAUGGAAUAUACAGUUGUUCCAGGGGGACUACUUGGCUUUCACUCCUCUUUAUCCUGCCAUCUUAGAUCCUCUCUCAGCUUGGAUCUUGAUUAACUUACUGAAGUCCUUUAAAAACACUGGCCAGACCAAGAUAAUUGCUGGCUUAGCUCAGAGAUGCUUGGAGUUGUGGACCCCUGAUGUUGGCUGAUGCUUAGACAUUUUGGAGAAUGCCAUU